Molecule: ribosomal RNA, 847 nt
Filed under: uncultured Kouleothrix sp.
Lineage: Bacteria; Bacillati; Chloroflexota; Chloroflexia; Chloroflexales; Roseiflexaceae
Description: bacterial SSU rRNA
Rfam family: Bacterial small subunit ribosomal RNA
Source: RNAcentral
AGGGUUUGAUCAUGGCUCAGGACGAACGCUGGCGGCGUGCCUAAUGCAUGCAAGUCGCACGCAGAGUGCUUGCACUCUGAGUGGCGCACGGCUGAGGACCACGUGGGAACAUGCCUCGAAGUGGGGGACAACACCGCGAAAGCGGUGCUAAUCCCGCAUACGUUCGCAAGAAGAAAGCGGCAACGCGCUCUGAGAGUGGCCCGCGGCCCAUCAGGUCGUCGGUGGGGUAACGGCCUACCGAGCCAAUGACGGGUAGCUGGUCUGUGAGGACAGACAGCCAGACUGGGACUGAGACACGGCCCAGACUCCUACGGGAGGCAGCAGCAAGGAAUUUUCGUCAAUGGGCGCAAGCCUGAACGAGCAACGCCGCGUGCAGGAUGACGGCCUUCGGGUUGUAAACUGCUUUUUCGGGGGACGAUUGUGACGGUACCCCGGGAAUAAGGCUCGGCUAACUCUGUGCCAGCAGCCGCGGUAAGACAGAGGAGCCAAGCGUUGUCCGGAUUGACUGGGCGUAAAGCGCACGCAGGCGGACGCGCGCGUGGGGUGUGAAAUCUGGCCGCUUAACGGCCAGGCGCCAUCCCAUACGGCGCGUCUGGAGUGAUGCAGAGGUCGAUGGAAUUGCCGGUGUAGUGGUGAAAUGCGUAGAGAUCGGCAGGAACACCCAGGGGGAAACCAGUCGACUGGGCAUCUACUGACGCUGAUGUGCGAGAGCGUGGGGAGCGAACCGGAUUAGAUACCCGGGUAGUCCACGCCGUAAACGAUGGCCACUCGGCCUUUGGUGACGGAACCUCCGUCGCUGGGGGCCUUAGCUAACGCGGGAAGUGGCCCCGCCUGGGAACUACGAGCG